RNAcentral lists this ribosomal RNA (502 nucleotides) under Lactobacillus gasseri. RNAcentral describes it as "bacterial SSU rRNA". It matches the Rfam family "Bacterial small subunit ribosomal RNA", at positions 28 to 493 of the family's 1533-position model. The record is from RNAcentral. Lineage: Bacteria; Bacillati; Bacillota; Bacilli; Lactobacillales; Lactobacillaceae.
GACGAACGCUGGCGGCGUGCCUAAUACAUGCAAGUCGAGCGAGCUUGCCUAGAUGAAUUUGGUGCUUGCACCAGAUGAAACUAGAUACAAGCGAGCGGCGGACGGGUGAGUAACACGUGGGUAACCUGCCCAAGAGACUGGGAUAACACCUGGAAACAGAUGCUAAUACCGGAUAACAACACUAGACGCAUGUCUAGAGUUUAAAAGAUGGUUCUGCUAUCACUCUUGGAUGGACCUGCGGUGCAUUAGCUAGUUGGUAAGGUAACGGCUUACCAAGGCAAUGAUGCAUAGCCGAGUUGAGAGACUGAUCGGCCACAUUGGGACUGAGACACGGCCCAAACUCCUACGGGAGGCAGCAGUAGGGAAUCUUCCACAAUGGACGCAAGUCUGAUGGAGCAACGCCGCGUGAGUGAAGAAGGGUUUCGGCUCGUAAAGCUCUGUUGGUAGUGAAGAAAGAUAGAGGUAGUAACUGGCCUUUAUUUGACGUAAUACUAGAAAUCAC